GGCCACGUGGCUUAGUUGGUUAAAGCGCCUGUCUAGUAAACAGGAAAUCCUGAGUUCGAAUCUCAGUGGUACCU
This 74-nucleotide transfer RNA is filed under the name Saccoglossus kowalevskii. RNAcentral describes it as "tRNA-Thr". It matches the Rfam family "tRNA". From Rfam's summary of the family: Transfer RNA (tRNA) molecules are approximately 80 nucleotides in length. The record is from RNAcentral. Lineage: Eukaryota; Metazoa; Hemichordata; Enteropneusta; Harrimaniidae.